This 898-nucleotide long non-coding RNA is filed under the name Vigna radiata. Its description in RNAcentral is "long non-coding RNA (VRAD_LNC000080)". The record is from RNAcentral. Lineage: Eukaryota; Viridiplantae; Streptophyta; Magnoliopsida; Fabales; Fabaceae.
UAAAAAUAAAAAAUAAAAAAUAGGUUUAAACCAUUUAAGUGUUCCUAUUUUUGUUAGGUAUUCUCAAUUUGGUCCCUUCUUUUAAAGUUUCCCAAUUGAGUCCUUAUAACUGCUAAUUUCAACCCAUUGAGUCCCUGUCGUCAAAUUUCGUUAACGGAGUUAACUUUCUGGACAGGUGGUGGACUGACCUGUCUAGUUACUUAAACGUGGCAUAUUUAGAAGUGAAACGUGGCCCCUGACUACCUUCAACGCCUCUCAGGCCACCGCAGAACCGUCGUUCCUCGCUCAGCACAGCAACACCAUCGUGAAGUUCAUCUUCUUCCUCCGCUACGAGUUCAUCUUCUUCCUCAGGCCUCUAAUAUCAUCUGCGUCUUCACCAUCUUCUUCUCCUUCACCAUAGAACCACUACUCCUUCGUCGGACAACCAUCAACCUUCAAAUCCUCCCCAGUAUACACUUAACACCCAAACUGCAAAACCUCAUUACGAAGAACCCUAAAACCCAAUCCGCAAAUUUCAUUCUCAACCGUAAGCUUCAUUUUUCCCUAUGCAUCAAACCUGCAAAAGGAAACCCAGGUCUUUUCUCCUCCACCAAGAAUCCAUACCUCACCUCAGCUACUACCAUGAUAUUGAGUAAUAAGUCGUGCAAACGCAACACACUUGUCCUCGCUACUGUAAAAUAGAUACACAUAUAUUAUUUUUCUGAUUUGGGCAGAGAGCAAACGGUAACUUUUCUCACAUUCCCUUUCAUGCUCAGAAACCUCUCCCCUCUGCAAUAAAUACACUCUUCACCAGGUACAUUCACUUUUCCAUGAGCUUGAAGCCAUCGUUUUCACCAAGUACAUUCACCUCUCCCCAAUCGCAAACGGUAACUUUUCUCACAUUCAUGUUGCAACUCCA